This 1160-nucleotide long non-coding RNA is filed under the name Mytilus galloprovincialis (Mediterranean mussel). The record is from RNAcentral. Lineage: Eukaryota; Metazoa; Mollusca; Bivalvia; Mytilida; Mytilidae.
GGUUGAUAUCUUUGGCGGAAGUACAUGUGAUACAUCCUCAUUCUUUCAAUAUCCAAGCUGUGGGAAGGUCGUGCUCCACGUGUUGUCGGCAAAGUAACUAUAUUCUUUAACUUUUACUUACAUUUGCCUUGGUGGCAAUAUAGCCUUGGUGGCUUUAAGACCUUGGUGGUCAUUUAUAUAUGCCUUGGUGGCAAAAGACCUAGGUGGUCAUUUAUAUAUGCCUUGGUGGCAAUAGACCUAGGUGGUCAUUUUUAUAUGCCUUGGUGGCAAUAGACCUAGGUGGUCAUUUUUAUGAUUUUUUACAUUUGCCUUGAUGGCAACAAUGAAUUAAAAAUACUAGCCUUGGGGGCGUCAAGACCUUGGUGGUCAUUUAUAUUCGCCUUGGCGGCUUCUUGAUAGAACUAGAUGGUAAUGUUUGACCUUGGUGGCAAAAUGUUUUGGGAUUUAGACCUUGGGUAGUUAUUAUCAACCCAGGUGGUCAGAUAUUUUGUUAUGCCGUGCGCCGGUUAAACGCAGGGCAAAGUGCUAUCGCUAUAUAAAAUAUAUGUGGAAGUGGGGGCUCUGGCCAUUUUGGAAAAUUGUAGUUGAAAGGAGAAUAAUAAAUUGUUUAUAGGGUAAAUAGUUUCUUUUGUUACUUUUGACUGUGUUGUGGACUUUUCAUUUAUUUUUACAUCGUACAUACUGAUAGAAAUGCUAUUUAAAGACUUUGUUAGAAAAGAAUAGAAUUAUUGAGAAAGUGGAAUAAUUUAGUGUGACAUGUCACUUGAUAUUCAUGUUUUUUUAUCGGAGUGAUGUGUAUUGAAUUAUAAGGUGUCUUCGUCGAGGUCCGCGUUCAGCGGUCUGUUUGAUUGUACAUAGAAUUGAAUAGAAUGUUUUUGUUUUCAGAUGGUGUUACCUACAGCUUUGACAGGGUGACGAAUGAAGGAGAAGUAAUAUGACAUUGCACGAUGAUUCAUGUCAAUGAGUUCGAACAACCUUUUUAAAAGGAAAGGAUUUUUUCUAAUCAGAAUAUGGUGAGAACAAAUUGCAAUUGAAGUAAUGUUUUGAUUUCUGAAAAUAGGAAAAUAAUGAAUGGGGAAAAUAUUGAUACUACACUAAAUUAUGUAUGUCUGUGUUGAGAAAGGCAGAAGAUGCCAAUAUGGCACGGUACUAAAAAAAAA